UACGGGGGGGGCAAGCGUUGUUCGGAAUUACUGGGCGUAAAGGGCUCGUAGGCGGCCAACUAAGCCAGACGUGAAAUCCCUCGGCUUAACCGGGGAACUGCGUCUGAUACUGGAUGGCUUGAGUUUGGGAGAGGGAUGCGGAAUUCCAGGUGUAGCGGUGAGAUGCGUAGAUAUCUGGAGGAACACCGGUGGCGAAGGCGGCAUCCUGGACCAACACUGACGCUGAGUGAGCGAAAGCCAGGGGAGCAAACGGG
RNAcentral lists this ribosomal RNA (254 nucleotides) under uncultured bacterium. RNAcentral's name for it is "partial 16S ribosomal RNA". It matches the Rfam family "Bacterial small subunit ribosomal RNA", at positions 524 to 776 of the family's 1533-position model. The record is from RNAcentral.